CAGAAUUUGAACUCUCGUGAAGAGGGGAUGCCAUUCAACCACGGGUUGAUUCGCUGCCUGAGAAGAGUCGCUGCUCCAACGGUUUCACGCACUACAGUACACGGAACAGAGCAUCGCCGAAAGCACUAUUUACUGGAAUUCCACUGCACGGACAAGCCACAACUUUGGACGGAUGUACAUACAUGACAUUCCAUACCCGUGGUACACGACGUCCGGGGACCGGGGUACACACCUCACACGGGACUAAAACAGAAACAAACAAGGCCAGGUACACAGCCACUGCGUGGCGAACGGGUUGAUGUGGCCAUGUGGGGGAACAAAAUGCACGUACCAAGUUUCUAGGCGACGACUCCCCGAGGGUCUCGUACGCUGGCGCAGGUCAGUCAAGCAUGGCCGGUCCAGCUACGAUCGCCAUGAGUUGACUUGGACAGUUCGAAGUCAUGUACGUGGAAAUCAGGAGCGAGAACUGACCCACUACGAACUUGCAGCUCGCCAAACUUUUUGGAACCCUGUAUGUGUAUAUAGGCCGCAUCUGCAUGGUACACAUGCAUGCAAAAGGAGUGGAGUAUAUGCACCAACUAUUAUACUAACAUAUCUUUUUCCUCUCGUCUCUGGCGCCUCAAACCCUAGCCGCCGCCAAGAGAGGCCAAUCUUCCAGCGCCGUCAUUCCGCGGCUCCCCUCCGCCGGCGACCUCGGUGAGGGGGGUCGUCGGGUCAACACGUGUUGACCGUUUUUGUCCCUUGUAGUCUAGGUUUUUAGAUUGUUUAUCGUCUUAACUUCGGCGGUGACGAUGACGGCGCACGAUGACGGCACUGAAUAAAGAUUCUUCGGAUCCUUCCCUAACGUGGCCAUCUGUCCUAUGGUUGGGGAUGAAUUUGGAAACCAGACUGUUCAAGCAAGGAUGGCGUGGCGGCGGCGGCAUCCUCGUGGUGGACCUGUGUCCUCGGACUCCGCCGUUGCGACGGUGUUUGCUCCAGCGUCGGCGCGGAGCUUGGGAGGUAGUCCAGGAGCGGAUGCAAAUUGUGGUCUGCAUCGACGACAUCUGAAAGACGGAACGUAUGCUGGGUUCGUGGAUCGUGGAUGGCAGGUAUGGUUUCCUCCUUUGGCGUCUUAGUUGUGGUGGGGUGCCAGAUCUGGAGUUCGAUGGCGUGUCCGGGGUGUUGCCCCAAUCUGAUUUGUUCAACGGCAAGGGUUUCACUUUUGGUGGGCCACCUUGUAUGUCCGCAAAGCUACAUAUCAACGAUGGAGCCACGUCGAGCCCGGGUGAGGAGGUGAUCCAUCAUUCUUUUCUUCAAUGGCUGCUAUGGUGGUGCCGGAGGCAGGUGACGAACGUUGGUGUCAAGCUCAGAGAUGUUCUGCUAUCUUUUCAGUUUUGUUAUGUCGGUCAUUACGUGACUUGUACUAUGAUGUUUAUGAUAUGAAUGAGACAUGUAUUACCAUGCAAAAAAAUAAAAUAUGCACCAACUGCUUUUGUAGCUACCUUAAUACAUUUACAAUUCUUAAAUGCGCAUUAAAGAUUUUCCAAAAAAAAAUUGAACAACUGGUGGCAAUCCUGCGUCCGGGAGCCGAGAUCUGUUAUGGCUGUUGGGGAAUGUAGCAUGCAAUUUCA
This 1610-nucleotide ribosomal RNA is filed under the name Triticum aestivum (bread wheat). Its description in RNAcentral is "partial small subunit ribosomal RNA". The record is from RNAcentral. Lineage: Eukaryota; Viridiplantae; Streptophyta; Magnoliopsida; Poales; Poaceae.